GGGAAACUCUUAUGGAGGAAUUUUAACGCCCUGAUAGCUGAGGGACAGAAACAUACUGAAGGAAGAGGCUGAGGGCUUCCCAGGACCCCACCAACAUAAAUUACCAAACUGCUUAUAGCUAAGACCCCAUUGCCUGGAAACCAACUGACCACCAUGGCCUCAGAACCUGGGCACUUUGACAGCUGGAUUCUUGACAUGCGUUGAUUUAAAGCUAGAAACCUACUACUUCAUCACCUUCAAUGUGUUUCUCAAUGUCUCCUUUCCUGACUGUGGAAGGCAGGUCAGUGAGCGGAGGGAAUUUUUGUCCAACGUGCACCUUGACAGAGCUUCACUGACCACGGGCUGUGUCUCCCUGCUGCCGCGCAGCGCACCUCUGACCACAGACCCCUCUCCGGAGCCGUGUGUUUGCUCCUCACCUGACAGGCUGUGUGAGAACCCAUCUGUGCUUCCCUGGGAUGUCUGA
This 463-nucleotide long non-coding RNA is filed under the name Rhinopithecus bieti (black snub-nosed monkey). Its description in RNAcentral is "lncRNA (ENSRBIG00000046458.1)". Lineage: Eukaryota; Metazoa; Chordata; Mammalia; Primates; Cercopithecidae. The record is from RNAcentral.